RNAcentral lists this unclassified non-coding RNA (240 nucleotides) under Hevea brasiliensis (rubber tree). The record is from RNAcentral. Lineage: Eukaryota; Viridiplantae; Streptophyta; Magnoliopsida; Malpighiales; Euphorbiaceae.
AAAAAAGGGGGUGAAGGCUCUGUUAUUUUGUUCACGACAACAAGUUCCCCAACUACAAUCUCUUCAUUCCCUAACAAAAACUAUGGCACAUCUCUACACCUCUAACACUAAUAGGGGCGAUACCUUCUGCUACGAUUGCCAUCAUCCCCACUGCUUCCAGCUCGCGCAGGCCCACUUGGACCAUUGCUACGAUCGACUCUCCUAGGCCGCGGUUGUGGCAUCUGUACUCCAGGCUGCUGA